AUCCAGAAAACAAUGAUGCCUAUUUUUCCAAGCACAUAGCUGACUUUAUGGUGUGGAAACAAAAAAUCUGAGUUCUCUGGAU
Pelobates cultripes (western spadefoot toad) is the source of this 82-nucleotide non-coding RNA. The record is from the annotation of a GenBank genome assembly. NCBI's taxonomy places the organism in Eukaryota, Metazoa, Chordata, Amphibia, Anura, Pelobatidae.